Molecule: ribosomal RNA, 1540 nt
Filed under: Salmonella enterica
Lineage: Bacteria; Pseudomonadati; Pseudomonadota; Gammaproteobacteria; Enterobacterales; Enterobacteriaceae
Also listed under: 1 other name
Description: 16S ribosomal RNA
Rfam family: Bacterial small subunit ribosomal RNA
Source: RNAcentral
AAAUUGAAGAGUUUGAUCAUGGCUCAGAUUGAACGCUGGCGGCAGGCCUAACACAUGCAAGUCGAACGGUAGCACAGAGAGCUUGCUCUCGGGUGACGAGUGGCGGACGGGUGAGUAAUGUCUGGGAAACUGCCCGAUGGAGGGGGAUAACUACUGGAAACGGUAGCUAAUACCGCAUAAUGUCGCAAGACCAAAGUGGGGGACCUUCGGGCCUCACACCAUCGGAUGUGCCCAGAUGGGAUUAGCUUGUUGGUGGGGUAACGGCUCACCAAGGCGACGAUCCCUAGCUGGUCUGAGAGGAUGACCAGCCACACUGGAACUGAGACACGGUCCAGACUCCUACGGGAGGCAGCAGUGGGGAAUAUUGCACAAUGGGCGCAAGCCUGAUGCAGCCAUGCCGCGUGUAUGAAGAAGGCCUUCGGGUUGUAAAGUACUUUCAGCGGGGAGGAAGGCGUUGUGGUUAAUAACCGCAGCGAUUGACGUUACCCGCAGAAGAAGCACCGGCUAACUCCGUGCCAGCAGCCGCGGUAAUACGGAGGGUGCAAGCGUUAAUCGGAAUUACUGGGCGUAAAGCGCACGCAGGCGGUUUGUUAAGUCAGAUGUGAAAUCCCCGGGCUCAACCUGGGAACUGCAUUUGAAACUGGCAAGCUUGAGUCUCGUAGAGGGGGGUAGAAUUCCAGGUGUAGCGGUGAAAUGCGUAGAGAUCUGGAGGAAUACCGGUGGCGAAGGCGGCCCCCUGGACGAAGACUGACGCUCAGGUGCGAAAGCGUGGGGAGCAAACAGGAUUAGAUACCCUGGUAGUCCACGCCGUAAACGAUGUCUAUUUGGAGGUUGUGCCCUUGAGGCGUGGCUUCCGGAGCUAACGCGUUAAAUAGACCGCCUGGGGAGUACGGCCGCAAGGUUAAAACUCAAAUGAAUUGACGGGGGCCCGCACAAGCGGUGGAGCAUGUGGUUUAAUUCGAUGCAACGCGAAGAACCUUACCUGGUCUUGACAUCCACGGAAUUUGGCAGAGAUGCCUUAGUGCCUUCGGGAACCGUGAGACAGGUGCUGCAUGGCUGUCGUCAGCUCGUGUUGUGAAAUGUUGGGUUAAGUCCCGCAACGAGCGCAACCCUUAUCCUUUGUUGCCAGCGAUUAGGUCGGGAACUCAAAGGAGACUGCCAGUGAUAAACUGGAGGAAGGUGGGGAUGACGUCAAGUCAUCAUGGCCCUUACGACCAGGGCUACACACGUGCUACAAUGGCGCAUACAAAGAGAAGCGACCUCGCGAGAGCAAGCGGACCUCAUAAAGUGCGUCGUAGUCCGGAUUGGAGUCUGCAACUCGACUCCAUGAAGUCGGAAUCGCUAGUAAUCGUGGAUCAGAAUGCCACGGUGAAUACGUUCCCGGGCCUUGUACACACCGCCCGUCACACCAUGGGAGUGGGUUGCAAAAGAAGUAGGUAGCUUAACCUUCGGGAGGGCGCUUACCACUUUGUGAUUCAUGACUGGGGUGAAGUCGUAACAAGGUAACCGUAGGGGAACCUGCGGUUGGAUCACCUCCUUA